Molecule: long non-coding RNA, 262 nt
Organism: Carassius carassius (crucian carp)
Lineage: Eukaryota; Metazoa; Chordata; Actinopteri; Cypriniformes; Cyprinidae
Exons: 3
Source: RefSeq, a predicted model, not a curated record
AAGUUUUUGGUGAGCCAACCCUCACACACCUUCCUAAAAACUAAAAGAGCUAUUACUGAGUCUCAGUGAAUCUUGCCAUGAUCAGCUCUUCCCAGAAGAGAAGGAAGACCAAGGAAAUGAUUUGCUCAGGAUGAGGAAUGAAGACGGCCAUCUUGUGCUCAAACAAACAGAAGUCCACUGAUGAUCUCAUCAGCCAAAUGAGGGGUUUUGAUCAAGUGAUGCUCUUGAAAGGAGUGAAAGAAGAGGAUGUGGUAAAUUGUCU